RNAcentral lists this ribosomal RNA (800 nucleotides) under uncultured bacterium. RNAcentral describes it as "bacterial SSU rRNA". It matches the Rfam family "Bacterial small subunit ribosomal RNA", at positions 58 to 874 of the family's 1533-position model. The record is from RNAcentral.
CAAGUCGAGCGGAAGGGCCUUUCGGGGUACUCGAGCGGCGAACGGGUGAGUAACACGUGAGUAACCUGCCCUCAGCUUUGGGAUAACCAUCGGAAACGGUGGCUAAUACCGAAUAUUCACUUCUCUUCGCAUGUUGGGUUGUGGAAAGUUUUUCGGCUGGGGAUGGGCUCGCGGCCUAUCAGCUUGUUGGUGGGGUGAUGGCCUACCAAGGCUUUGACGGGUAGCCGGCCUGAGAGGGCGACCGGCCACACUGGGACUGAGACACGGCCCAGACUCCUACGGGAGGCAGCAGUGGGAAUAUUGCACAAUGGGCGGAAGCCUGAUGCAGCGACGCCGCGUGAGGGAUGACGGCCUUCGGGUUGUAAACCUCUUUCAGCAGGGACGAAGCGAGAGUGACGGUACCUGCAGAAGAAGCGCCGGCCAACUACGUGCCAGCAGCCGCGGUAAGACGUAGGGCGCGAGCGUUGUCCGGAUUUAUUGGGCGUAAAGAGCUCGUAGGCGGCUUGUUGCGUCGUCCGUGAAAACCUGGGGCUCAACUCCAGGCUUGCGGUCGAUACGGGCAGGCUAGAGUUCGGUAGGGGAGACUGGAAUUCCUGGUGUAGCGGUGAAAUGCGCAGAUAUCAGGAGGAACACCGGUGGCGAAGGCGGGUCUCUGGGCCGAUACUGACGCUGAGGAGCGAAAGCGUGGGGAGCGAACAGGAUUAGAUACCCUGGUAGUCCACGCUGUAAACGUUGGGCGCUAGGUGUGGGGGGCCUCUCCGGUUUCCUGCGCCGUAGCUAACGCAUUAAGCGCCCCGCCU